Molecule: long non-coding RNA, 2444 nt
Organism: Equus caballus (horse)
Lineage: Eukaryota; Metazoa; Chordata; Mammalia; Perissodactyla; Equidae
Source: RefSeq, a predicted model, not a curated record
CGUUCUGGGGGAUGGGGUUAGUGGUGGCAGAGUUUCAGAGGUAUGUGAAUGGAUCACUGAAUUGCCUUAGAAUUCCAAAUUCUGGAAUCAGAAAUCUUCUGGAAUUGGAAGUGAGUCUAAGUCAGGGGGCAGAGUGAUCACAUCACCGUGAGUGCCCAGGAGGGGCAGGUCUACAAGGUUCUGCAGAGACACAUCUGGAGAAAUGGCUGGAGGAUAUGACCUUUGAGUACAACAGCCCCGUCGGUUUGACCCUGAAGUGCCACAGUGCUCCCCGUCCGUCUGCAAAGUCGGCCCUUUCGUAGAUCCUGAUUGUCUGAACUUAUUCUAUAACACCCAGCUCAAAGGUCACUUUCUCCGGAGAAAGCUUCCCAGGCGCACCAGGCUCGAUGACUUGGAAUUGUAACGGCGCAAUAUCAGUCUCCAUACCGUAGAACCUUUCAAGACAGAGCAAGUCACAUGGUCCUGCACAACUUUAAAUAGGAGGGAGAAUUGCAAACGCAAGCCUACCCUGUGCCCAAAAGGAGGGGGACCAGAACGUCUGUGAAUGUCCCUAGGACUAUCAGAGGCCGAAAGCUGACGGCGCAGUCUGCUAAUACGCGGUCACCUUUGGCUACGAAGAACCUCCACUUCAAGGUCAGAUUCAGCAGCUACCCCCAGGCUUCUCGAUGGUUUGGAAUUAAAUUUUGACACUAGGUCUUUUUGUCUCUUCUCAUUUCCCCACUUGGUUAUACUUUAAGCAGAUAGGUGAUCCUGUCAGCCUUAAGGAAACAACAGAAAGCAACAAAUUUAUGUAAAACAUCCCACUCUCUAAUUAAAUCUCUCUGCCACUCCAAGAUUUGGGCUUGGAUGCUGAUUUGCACUUAAAAAAAAUCAAAACAGAAGCCCAAAUUCAAGAAAACUUGCAAAAUGCUUUCGCGUUGUUCUCCAGGACUGACGUGUAAACACAAAGAAUGCUUUUAUUUCCCCCACAACAAACACCUUUGUUUUUGUUGCUUGACGGCUUGGAUCGGGAUUCUGUUUCAAGAUAAUUGAAAGCAGCUUCUAAAUGCAGACGCAGUGAAGCAGGCCAGGGGGAGAUGUACGUGGAGGGGUGCGGGGGACAAACCUUAAUCAGGCGGUUGUGGGUCUCUGGCCUGGCCUGCAGUACCUGUGGGCUCAGGCUGCGCCUCCAGAAGAUCUAUCGUCACAACCCUGCAGACCACCUCCCCCCGCCCCAAAUCAAGUGAGGGUGUGUUAGUUGACUAUUUCUGUAACAAAUAACUCCCAAACUUAGCAAUUUAAGUCAGCAAACACUUAUUAUUUCACCCAGCUUCUGAGGGUCAGGAGUCCAGGAGGGGCUUAUUUGCUCGGUUCUGGCUGAGGCUUUCUCAUGAGUUUGGGGUCAAGCUGUUAGCUGGGGCUGAGUGCUGAACUGGGGCUGGCGGAUCCCUUUCCAAGCUCACGCACGUGUUGUUGGAGGCCUCAGGUCGUUGCUAGCUGUUAGCCAGAGGCCUCAGUUCCAUGCCAUGUGCUCUUCUCCAUAGAGCCAUUCGUGACAUGGCUGCUGGCAUCCCCAAGUGCUGUGACAGACAGAGAGACCAAGAGGGGAGUCCGUCUUUCAUAAGCUAUUCUUGGAAAUGGCACUUCUCCUCUGCUCUCUUCCCCUGGUCACACAGACUGACUCUGGUAGAGUUUGGGAGGACAAUACACAAGGAUGUGAGCAUCAGGAGGCGGGGAGCGCUGUGGUCCUUUCAGAGGCUGGUUAUCGCAUGAGAAUAAACUUGAAGUGCCCACUACGGCCAAGAGCUGGGUGAUUUACGUAGGUUAUCGCAGUGCUUACAAUAACCCGGCAUGGUAGGUGCUGUUAUAAAGCCCGUUUCCCAGAUGAAGAAACUGAAUUUCAGAGAGGUUAAGUAGCCAAAUGCUAUCUGGGCAGGAAGUGUCUGAGGCAGGGCACAAAACAAAAUCUGUCUCAUGCAAAACACUUCUGGGAGUUGCACGACUACGGGGUGGAGCAAGGAUGGCCUAGCGUGGUCUUGAGAGUCGCCUUUGAAGUCAGCCUGACCUGGCCUCUACUCUAGACACUGCCACUCACGCACUGUGCGGCCGUGAGCAAGCUCCCGACCGCUCCCGCCUCUGUGUCCUCGCCUGUGGGACGGGGCAGGACGAGGCACCCUCUGCACGAGGCCGUGAGGGGAUUAGAUCCGGCGACCGAUGUGCUGACUCAGCGCCGGGCACGGCAGGGGCUCCGUAAAUGCUGAUGCUCUGGUUGAGCCCCGCACCCUGCCCCUGGCUGGAGCCAAUCCCUCUCCCCACUGGGCCUCAGCUUUUCUAUCUGAGAAAUGAAGACAGUAGGUUAUCUGUCCCAGGUCACUUCCAAUUCACAGUCCGUGAAACUUUUUUUUUUCCUGCUUUUAUCUCCCCAACCACCGCCCCCCACCAACCCCGUACACAGUUGUAUAUCU